Punica granatum (pomegranate) is the source of this 889-nucleotide non-coding RNA. NCBI's taxonomy places the organism in Eukaryota, Viridiplantae, Streptophyta, Magnoliopsida, Myrtales, Lythraceae. The record is from RefSeq and is a predicted model, not a curated record.
CCGAGCCUUUUCCUAUUUUAACCCCUUGCAUUUUUUAAAUUCCACCCUCACCCUUAAUUUCUUUUACAAACUCUAAUAUUAUUUAUUCAUUCUUCAAGACGCAUCAAAGUUGCAGAACCCUCUCCAUUAAGAAAACUCUCUCAGGAGGUAACUAAGGCAGCAAAAUUCCGCAUUCGAGGACUAGAAUUUGCUGAAAAAUUAGUCGACUAUUCAUGAAUGUAGCUGCAACAGGGGAUGCUGCAUGGUCGCCAUCUAUUUGAGUGCUACCAUCACAAAAUAAUCAAGCGGAGAAUUGCAUCAAUUUAGAUGAAGACAACAAUGACUUGGAAGAGCAAGAGAUGAAUGAGCUUGAUUCUCAAGUUGAUGAGACUGGAGUUAGAAAGAGAUCUGCCAAUUCACAACCUCGAGUGGCGAAAGAAGGUAAAUUGCAAGGGAAGGAAGGGGAUCAAAAAGUUUCUAGUGCAAAAACAAAUGUCCCAUUCGAUAAAUUCUCUGGUAGAAACUCAGAAAGAAGAACAUCUAAAUUGAUCAGAACAGAUUCCCCAGGUUGUGGUUAUGCUGAAAUGGUCGAACAGUUGGAUACAUUACUUGAGAUUGUACCUGGUAGUGAUCUAUAUUAUUUUAUUCUUGAGCUUUUGAAAGAUAAAAAUGAGAGGGAGUACUUUGGAGCAAUGAAGAUACCUGCUGUGAAAGUUGGUUGGCUUCAAAGGCAACAAUUGAAGAAAGUGGAUAGCUCUUUUUUGUCUAUGAUGUCUAAUUUAGAUUCGUGAUUUGUUCUAGGCUGUUCUCAAUAACUUCGAUUUUUUCUUUGUUGAACAUAUGAUUAUUUAUUUGACUAAUAAUGCCAGACAUGCUCAGGAUCAGUAAACUUUUCAAUUUUCAUAUUAAA